Molecule: long non-coding RNA, 509 nt
Organism: Melitaea cinxia (Glanville fritillary)
Lineage: Eukaryota; Metazoa; Arthropoda; Insecta; Lepidoptera; Nymphalidae
Exons: 2
Source: RefSeq, a predicted model, not a curated record
AUCCUUGAUCACUACAAAAACUCCUGCCAAGACCUUCGUUCCCUAGCCAAAAUCCAUAUGGACAAGUCCUGGAAUUUAUCUUGGAGUUCAUCAAAAUUGGUAAAGGAUAAAUUUUACUCAAAUAUACAACCAGACAUCCCAAGACGCCCUUGGUUUUCUCUUCAUAGACAUGCUCGUCGUUGGGUAACAUCUAGCAAAUGUCGCUUACGUCUUGGCCAUGCGUGUACACCUGUUCAUCUGGCCAAAAUCAGAGUUCGUGACCACUCAUUGUGUGAAUGUGGCCUUGACGAAGGCACGGUUUCCCACAUCCUUUUUUCCUGUCCCAGACUCAUCCGUCCUAUAUACGACAUCCUUCCUCAUGAUAUUCCCCGCCCUAUAAAUGUUCAAUGUUUGUUAAUGUUGGUGUUUAGUCCCUAUUGUAGAUUUUUGUGUUAUGGUGUAACAAUGAAAGUCUGACUAUUUUGCCUGUUUUCAAAAUUAAAUAGAGACUGUUAUCUCUACUGCACCGA